CUUCCACGUGGACUGUUUUGAACAUAGUUUGGCACCACCAAAAUCCCAGCUGGAAGCAUGCUCAGGUGUGCAACACAGGGAACCCAGAGGGGGCAGGAGGCAGAAUGGGCAGAGGAAGAAAGAAGUUGCGAGUCGCCAGGGAGUCAGAAAGCAGCCCCAGUUCCUGCACACUCGGGACCUGGUCUAGCAGGUGACGCUGCGUGCCUGAAGGGACCACUGUGAUGACGAUGAAGAAGUCAUCCUGAGGAGAGC
Molecule: long non-coding RNA, 252 nt
Filed under: Capra hircus (goat)
Lineage: Eukaryota; Metazoa; Chordata; Mammalia; Artiodactyla; Bovidae
Description: lncRNA (ENSCHIG00010019102.1)
Source: RNAcentral